GAUAUGGCUCCUAGUCCAAGGUAAUUACUAAAGUAUAGAUCUCAUACGUGUUGGCUUGAAAUUUCUAACAUUUUCUUUUAGACAAAAAUUGUUACAUUAAUGUAUUAAGCUGCACCUAUAAUUUGUUUCUGAAGCUUUCUUGGAGAUGUAUAAUUGUCAUUACAAAAUACUAUAAAAAUACUUUGUUUUCCAAGUACUAGCAUGGGAUAGGGACAUAACUGUAUUUGCUCUGCCACCAGGCUGCAAAGUGGGAAGCACCCAUUUGUCAAAU
Molecule: unclassified non-coding RNA, 271 nt
Filed under: Hevea brasiliensis (rubber tree)
Lineage: Eukaryota; Viridiplantae; Streptophyta; Magnoliopsida; Malpighiales; Euphorbiaceae
Source: RNAcentral